Molecule: ribosomal RNA, 626 nt
Filed under: Fonsecaea pedrosoi
Lineage: Eukaryota; Fungi; Ascomycota; Eurotiomycetes; Chaetothyriales; Herpotrichiellaceae
Description: LSU rRNA
Rfam family: Eukaryotic large subunit ribosomal RNA
Source: RNAcentral
UUUUGCAUAUUCUCCAAAAGCGGAGGAAAAGAAACCAACAGGGAUUGCCUCAGUAACGGCGAGUGAAGCGGCAACAGCUCAAAUUUGAAAUCUGGCCUCUUGGGGUCCGAGUUGUAAUUUGUAGAGGAUGUUUCGGGUACCGCCUCGGUUUAAAUUUCUUGGAACAGAAUGUCAAAGAGGGUGAGAAUCCCGUCUUGGACCGGCGGUAGGGCCUAUGUGAAACUCCUUCGACGAGUCGAGUUGUUUGGGAAUGCAGCUCAAAAUGGGUGGUAAAUUUCAUCUAAAGCUAAAUAUUGGCCAGAGACCGAUAGCGCACAAGUAGAGUGAUCGAAAGAUGAAAAGCACUUUGAAAAGAGAGUUAAACAGUAUGUGAAAUUGUUGAAAGGGAAGCGCUUGCAACCAGACUUGAGCGCGGCGGUUCCCCCUUGCUUCUGCUUGGGUUACUCCGCCGUGUCCAGGCCAACAUCGGUUCUGGGGGUCGGUCAAAGGCUCUGGGAAUGUAUCUACCCACGGGUAGACUUAUAGACCAGGGUGUCAUGCGACCUCCCGGGACCGAGGAACGCGCUUCGGCUCGGAUGUUGGCGUAAUGGUUGUCAGCGACCCGUCUUGAACCACCGGACCAAAAA